Molecule: ribosomal RNA, 253 nt
Filed under: uncultured bacterium
Lineage: Bacteria
Description: partial 16S ribosomal RNA
Rfam family: Bacterial small subunit ribosomal RNA
Source: RNAcentral
UACGUAGGGGGCUAGCGUUGUCCGGAAUCAUUGGGCGUAAAGCGCGUGUAGGCGGUCCGGUAAGUCCGCUGUGAAAGUCGGGGGCUCAACCCUCGGAUGCCGGUGGAUACUGUCGGGCUUGAGUACGGAAGAGGCGAGUGGAAUUCCCGGUGUAGCGGUGAAAUGCGCAGAUAUCGGGAGGAACACCUAUGGCGAAGGCAGCUCGCUGGGACGUUACUGACGCUGAGACGCGAAAGCGUGGGGAGCAAACAGG